RNAcentral lists this unclassified non-coding RNA (603 nucleotides) under Aspergillus westerdijkiae. Its description in RNAcentral is "sequence contains 18S rRNA gene, ITS1, 5.8S rRNA gene, ITS2, 28S rRNA gene". The stretch from base 216 to 369 matches the Rfam family "5.8S ribosomal RNA". Lineage: Eukaryota; Fungi; Ascomycota; Eurotiomycetes; Eurotiales; Aspergillaceae. The record is from RNAcentral.
AGUCGUAACAAGGUUUCCGUAGGUGAACCUGCGGAAGGAUCAUUACUGAGUGAGGGUCCCUCGGGGCCCAACCUCCCACCCGUGUAUACCGUACCUUGUUGCUUCGGCGAGCCCGCCCCCCUUUCCUUAGGGGUGGCACAGCGCUCGCCGGAGACACCAACGUGAACACUGUCUGAAGUUUUGUCGUCUGAGUCGAUUGUAUCGCAAUCAGUUAAAACUUUCAACAAUGGAUCUCUUGGUUCCGGCAUCGAUGAAGAACGCAGCGAAAUGCGAUAAUUAAUGUGAAUUGCAGAAUUCAGUGAAUCAUCGAGUCUUUGAACGCACAUUGCACCCCCUGGUAUUCCGGGGGGUAUGCCUGUCCGAGCGUCAUUGCUGCCCUCAAGCACGGCUUGUGUGUUGGGUCGUCGUCCCCCCCGGGGGACGGGCCCGAAAGGCAGCGGCGGCACCGCGUCCGGUCCUCGAGCGUAUGGGGCUUUGUCACCCGCUCUUGUAGGCCCGGCCGGCUGCUGGCCGACGCUGAAAAGCAACCAAUCUAUUCCAUCAGGUUGACCUCGGAUCAGGUAGGGAUACCCGCUGAACUUAAGCAUAUCAAUAAGCGGAGGA